Molecule: ribosomal RNA, 274 nt
Filed under: uncultured bacterium
Lineage: Bacteria
Description: partial 16S ribosomal RNA
Rfam family: Bacterial small subunit ribosomal RNA
Source: RNAcentral
AUACAGAGGGUGCGAGCGUUAAUCGGAAUUACUGGGCGUAAAGCGCGCGUAGGCGGUUUGUUAAGUCGGAUGUGAAAUCCCCGGGCUCAACCUGGGAACUGCAUUCGAAACUGGCAGGCUAGAGUAUGGUAGAGGGAAGUGGAAUUCCGGGUGUAGCGGUGAAAUGCGUAGAUAUCCGGAGGAACAUCAGUGGCGAAGGCGGCUUCCUGGACCAAUACUGACGCUGAGGUGCGAAAGCGUGGGGAGCAAACAGGAUUAGAUACCCCAGUAGUCC